This 468-nucleotide ribosomal RNA is filed under the name uncultured bacterium. Its description in RNAcentral is "partial 16S ribosomal RNA". It matches the Rfam family "Bacterial small subunit ribosomal RNA", at positions 28 to 507 of the family's 1533-position model. The record is from RNAcentral.
GACGAACGCUGGCGGCGUGCUUAACACAUGCAAGUCGAACGGAAAGACCCUGCUUUUGUGGGGUGCUCGAGUGGCGAACGGGUGAGUAACACGUGAGUAACCUGCCCUUGACUUUGGGAUAACUUCAGGAAACUGGGGCUAAUACCGGAUAGGAGCUCCUGCUGCAUGGUGGGGGUUGGAAAGUUUCGGCGGUUGGGGAUGGACUCGCGGCUUAUCAGCUUGUUGGUGGGGUAGUGGCUUACCAAGGCUUUGACGGGUAGCCGGCCUGAGAGGGUGACCGGCCACAUUAGGACUGAGAUACGGCCCAGACUCCUACGGGAGGCAACAGUGGGGAAUAUUGCACAGUGGGCGGAAGCCUGAUGCGACAACGCCGCGUGCGGGAUGACGGCCUUCGGGUUGUAAACCGCUUUCGCCUGUGACGAAGCGUGAGUGACGGUAAUGGGUAAAGAAGCACCGGCUAACUACGUG